GAUGAACGCUGGCGGCGUGCCUAACACAUGCAAGUCGAGCGAGAAGCUUACAAGUGAUACUUCGGUAAAGCGAGUGAGUGGAAAGCGGCGGACGGGUGAGUAACGCGUAGGCAACCUGCCCUGUACAGAGGGAUAGCCUCGGGAAACCGGGAUUAAAACCUCAUGAUGCUAUCGGGUCACAUGAUUUGAUAGUCAAAGAUUUAUCGGUACGGGAUGGGCCUGCGUCUGAUUAGUUAGUUGGUGAGGUAACGGCUCACCAAGGCAGCGAUCAGUAGCCGACCUGAGAGGGUGAUCGGCCACAUUGGAACUGAGACACGGUCCAAACUCCUACGGGAGGCAGCAGUGGGGAAUAUUGCACAAUGGGCGAAAGCCUGAUGCAGCAACGCCGCGUGAGCGAAGAAGGCCUUUGGGUCGUAAAGCUCUGUCCUAGGGGAAGAAAAAAAUGACGGUACCCUUGGAGGAAGCCCCGGCUAACUACGUGCCAGCCGCCGCCGUAACAC
Molecule: ribosomal RNA, 500 nt
Filed under: uncultured bacterium
Lineage: Bacteria
Description: bacterial SSU rRNA
Rfam family: Bacterial small subunit ribosomal RNA
Source: RNAcentral